GGAUUGCCCUAGUAACGGCGAGUGAAGCGGCAACAGCUCAAAUUUGAAAUCUGGCUCUUUUAGAGUCCGAGUUGUAAUUUGCAGAGGGCGCUUUGGCUUUGGCAGCGGUCCAAGUUCCUUGGAACAGGACGUCACAGAGGGUGAGAAUCCCGUACGUGGUCGCUAGCUAUUGCCGUGUAAAGCCCCUUCGACGAGUCGAGUUGUUUGGGAAUGCAGCUCUAAAUGGGAGGUAAAUUUCUUCUAAAGCUAAAUACUGGCCAGAGACCGAUAGCGCACAAGUAGNGUGAUCGAAAGAUGAAAAGCACUUUGGAAAGAGAGUCAAACAGCACGUGAAAUUGUUGAAAGGGAAGCGCUUGCAGCCAGACUUGCUUGCAGUUGCUCACCCGGGCCUCUGUGCCGGUGCAUUCUUCUGCAGGCAGGCCAGCAUCAGUUUGGGCGGUGGGAUAAAGGUCUCUGUCA
RNAcentral lists this ribosomal RNA (459 nucleotides) under Pyrenophora trichostoma. Its description in RNAcentral is "LSU rRNA". It matches the Rfam family "Eukaryotic large subunit ribosomal RNA", at positions 72 to 534 of the family's 3401-position model. The record is from RNAcentral. Lineage: Eukaryota; Fungi; Ascomycota; Dothideomycetes; Pleosporales; Pleosporaceae.